Long non-coding RNA from Canis lupus familiaris (dog), 1984 nucleotides. RefSeq lists it as uncharacterized. The transcript has 4 exons. The record is from RefSeq and is a predicted model, not a curated record. Lineage: Eukaryota; Metazoa; Chordata; Mammalia; Carnivora; Canidae.
CCGAGCAGAGCGUCCUCCAGGGCCUGGCGGGAGCCGCAUCCGUGGAGAGUGGGCCACGCGUCCUUCACAACCAGGAGCCGGCUGUGUGAGAGGGACCCCCUGGAGGCCGUGUGUGCGUGUAAAACGAUGUUCUUGGAAUGAUGGAGAGACCUCGGGAGCCAGGAGGCUGCGGUCCGAGAGCCCCCGAAGUGGGCUUAACGCUGAACAGCCCCCUGAAUAACGGGGCACGUGGGAGAGCCGCCCACCUACAGGUCAUUCUCCGGAGCCGAGGAGCAGAGGCCGUCCCCGUCGGCACGUGUCCCCUCCCAAGCACCCGCUCUGAGCGCGGGGUUCCACGACUGGAGAGUGGAGGCCGGCGGGGACGCAGCACAGCCUCACGGGAUCCCCCAGGGGCCGAGGUCUACACUGCCAGUGACGAGAACACAACGGAUGCUCGGUCUAUGAACUAGAGGAAGGCAGGUGGUGAAGGACACGCCACCCUCAGGCCAUCGCAGCUCGGAGGGGGGACCGCCGCCUCCCACUUGAUGUCUCCAAACCCAAGGGGAUGGCCUUCUCGCGCUGGCAAGUCCUCUGCUGGGUGUCCGGCCAUGUGGAUGGGGCACAGGCCCCGCCACCCCUCGUUAGGCUUCAGAUCGGCGUCCACCGUGUUGUUGUGGAUUAAACGGGCUCCACGCUCUCGCAUCGGGUCGUGUCCUUGACUCCCUCCCUUCGCUCGGCCUGCGAGACACCGUCUCAUCCAACAUGGCCAGAGCAGGGCCCUGGGGUCAUGUGGAUCAAUGAACAGUCAUCAGAUGAAUGAGUGGGCCCGUUGCAAGCUGCAAAUAUGACUCUGGCAGCAUCAAGUGGUGAUAACUACACUCAUCUGUGUUCUUUGAGAAAGACCCAUAAAAGAACAUGUCCACCCACACUGCAGUGCCAGCCGUCCAUAGCUGGCAGGGUGCAGGAGGAACUGUCGCCACAGCUGUGUGGGUGCACUCUUAUGCCUCCUAGCCAAGGGCCUGGUGCUGGGCCUGUUGCAUCUUUGCUGCUUCUCAGAGUGAGGGACUACAGAAACUGUCCCUGCACCUGUCACCGAGGCAUGGAGGGAGUCGGCGCCAUCCCACCCCUGCCAACAGAGAGACAUGAGGCUCACCAGUCACCCACAGGGAGCAGUGACGGUGCCAAGGCCGCACUCACCUGCCAGGAAGUGGGAAGAGCCCCAUCUGCUCCUGGAACGUGGGUCCCAGGUCACGUUCUUGUGGGUCCCUGGGAGGCCGAGGGAGGAGGUGGGGGAGGAGGCGGAGGAGGAGGCGGUUUCCGCACUGGCGCAUGACAGGGGAGACACAAGCUCCUAUCCCAGUGGGCCGGGUUCCUGAAGGCAAUAUUCCCUCAAGCAAAAAGGUUGCAUAUUAACUUGCUGAUUCCUGCUGACACCCCGCUCACCCUCUGACUGGGACUCUGGAGGCUGGGGCUCCGGGUGGACAAAUGUGUGUGAAAUGAAGUGAUGGGGAAGGAAGCCGUGGUGGGAACUCAUGGGUCCCCAGAAGGAGGUUCCAAGCCCAGCCAGGUUAGGGAACUCAGAAUAAGACCACCCUGGGUUCGAAUGAGCCCUAAAUGUAAUGACUGGAGUCCUUCUAAGAGAGGAGAGGACACACGGAUGCACACGGAGGGGCCAUGUGAUGACAGGGGCUGUGAUGACGGGGGGCAUGGCCACAGCCCAGGAGCACCCAGGGGCUGGAGAGGCAGGGAAGAGCCCUGCCUGGGGCCUCUGCAGGGAGCUUGGCGCUGCCCUCUCUGACCUCCACGCUGCGUGAGAAUAAAUCUCUGCUGUUUCGAGCCACCUGGACACUGGUAGUUUGUCACGGCUGCCCUGGCAAAUGGCUGCACAUGUCAUCUGUCUUCAGGGCUUUCUUUUUAAGGAAAUCUGCCAGGCUUGCUGCAGCUGGACCUGAAUUAAAGGAAGUUGCUGGGCAGCAGCCAGAAAUUGUCCCCCAAGAUGACAUAG